UUUGCGCUUAACAGCCAGAUUGCGGUGUGUGAAGACGAAACGAACCGAAAGUUUGCGAACACACAAAGCUAUUACAUACCCAAUUUGCUGAAGCGUUGAAAGACGACUCGGCACACCGAAUUUCUUGACGACCAUAGAGCAUUGGAACCACCUGAUCCCAUCCCGAACUCAGAAGUGAAACGAUGCAUCGCCGAUGGUAGUGUGGGGUUUCCCCAUGUGAGAGUAGGUCAUCGUCAAGA
This 239-nucleotide ribosomal RNA is filed under the name Pseudomonas sp. LAMO17WK12:I9. Lineage: Bacteria; Pseudomonadati; Pseudomonadota; Gammaproteobacteria; Pseudomonadales; Pseudomonadaceae. The record is from RNAcentral.